This 371-nucleotide long non-coding RNA is filed under the name Salvia miltiorrhiza (redroot sage). Its description in RNAcentral is "long non-coding RNA (SMIL_LNC002150)". Lineage: Eukaryota; Viridiplantae; Streptophyta; Magnoliopsida; Lamiales; Lamiaceae. The record is from RNAcentral.
CCGAAUCCAAGCCCCGGGACGAUGAACAUUAUGGUGAAUGGUAUGGCGGCCAAGGUGAGCUUCCACGAGAGGGAGAAGGCGAAGACGAAGCAGAAGAAGAAGGAUGACAUGUAGGCCAGGCAGUCAGGUAUCUGCAUAGGAGUGUCAUUUUGUUAGUAAGAAAUUAAUUAUCAUAAAAAUCCUUUGUUUCUUUCUAGUUAGACCUUUUCUCCAAUGGUGAUUUGGAUUGUGUUGGAGUCUGCAGAUAUUGUGGUGACGACUUGGAAAGUGGUGGAUGAGUCAGGUGCUUGGGAGUCGAAGAAGCCUACGUCUUGCUUCAGCACAGAUUUCAGAUACUCUAAUCUCAUCCGAGAACUCUGCCUCUCUGCUGU